UGCAGGUAGAGAGUUAGUAGGAAAUCUGGGGUAUGAUAUACAAGGAAAAUAGAAACGCUUCAGUUUCAGAGGUUCGGUCCUCAAGUCGCAACCUCUCGGCCUUCUUCUCUCUUCUCAAACCACAACCGUGCAUUGUCCACGACUCCACGAUUCAUGCUGCCAACACCAAAGUAACCCACCACCGUGUUGCUAAUGUCAUGGACGGCUCCUACUACCAAAGCAACACCACCGCCGCAGUCUUUUAUAGAGACAUAAAAACAAACUUUCUAAUUUGUGGUGAAUUCAUCCGACUAAAGCUUGAGUAGCUCAUUAUGGCUUUCUUUAAGAUUCUCUUCUCCCCAUUUCUAGUUUUGGAUUUGGCCAACAAUUUUCAAGAACUAAUUUUAUAGAUGAAGUUGUUAUUCUGAGAUGGAGGCCUCUCAGGCAUCUUUGAACGUGGAAAGAGGUGUUCGGAUUCAGGUUCCAUUGGUAAGUUCUUUCCAUUCACUUUUGGUCAUUCGACAUUUUUAUCCAGCCCAUGCGUUUUUCGAGAAACCCAUAUUGAAUUAUUGGUGAAUUUACUGUGUUUGAUCGCAUCUUUGGAAUAUGAUGAAUAGGGAAUCCGUAUGUGGGGUUUAGAGGAUGGAAUAUGGAAUCCUUUUUCAGUUCGGAGAUGGAUAGGUUGGAUAUCGGAUUUAUUGGUUUUUUUGAAGAUGGAUAUAUUCAAGUCUCUUGCUUUAGAGAGGAAAUAGAUCGGUUCUCUUAUUUGGUUGGGGAGUAAUAAAACUUGGCGUUUAGGCGAAUGAUCUCAACUUUUGCUUCGCUUAGAGUUGGUUUUAGGUACAGUUUUAAUCUUCUGAGUGCUUAAGCCCUAAAAACUUUUGCUCCGCUAGACAGACUAGAGAACCGUUUCCCUACUCGGCUGCCUUUAACAAAACUCCCGUUUAUUUAUCCCUUUGUACAUUGAUUUUUAGAGUUCCAUGCAAACUAAUUUUUGCCGGAUUCAAGUAUUUUGAGUUAUGAUUAUAGUCAUUUUUGUGAUUUUGUUUAUUUUCUUUCUUCCUGGGGUGGUUCAGAUCCAAUGAAGACCAUUGUUAUGAAGAGGGUUUGAAAUAACGCAAAGCAUGCAUGGUAGGAAGUACAAAAAAACUGAAAGGUCAUCUUUCAAAUUGCGAGUUCAAGAAAAUUGGAACAUAUCAUAUUUUUCCUCUUUUCAUUUUCUCACUUUAUUUUUUUUUUCAUUUGGAACAUAUUUUAGUAUUUUAUUAAUAUUUUGAAUUGUUUAACUUAUAUUUGCAAUUCUUGGUGGUGGUAUUGUUUGGUUCAAUUGCUGAUAUUGUUGGGAAAUAUAUAGCAUUUAGGGCUUUUGGUCAGUAAGUAAGAAAAGUUAUCCAUCCUUGAAGUUUUGAUUUUAAGAGUUUGUUUUGUUUUUGUUUGGUUUGAUUGCAGGCACAUGGGAGCUCUUUCACACAAUUGCAUUUCUUAUUUAAUUUUCUAUUUUUGUAUGGAAUUUUUACUAGAAUUAAGCAAAACCUGCCAAAAUACGAAGUUAAGAAAUGCAAGAAAAGAAAACUCUUCUUAUACGAUUAAUCUAUACAUUCACUAUAUUUUAUUUUCUGAAAGUUAUCUUUUUUUUUGUCAUCAUAAAAGGAUCAGCUAUCUUGAUAAUUUCACUCCUUGGCAACAUGCUACUUUCUGUUGCUUUUAGGGUCAAACUUUGUUCUAGAUGUAAAUGAUAGCCCUAGAGAACCUAUGCUUAUGGAUAUUAAUCAAAACCUAAUGUAAAUUUCAUCUUAGUCUCAAAAGGUGUAGUGGCUAAUGUUGAUUGAAGAUGGAGAGAGAAGGAUUCUAUUGUAGAACAUGACCAUAGCAACCAAAUGGGUAGUUCUCUCUCUCUCUCUCACUCACUACAAGAAAAAACGGUCACAGCCGGCCGUCUUUGAGAUCGCCGCUAUAGGGACAUCUAAGGCGGCGGGUUUUCAAAGACCGCCGCCUACAUUCGUUUUAAAAUCUGGCGCGGCGGUUUUAAUGUACAUUCGGCGGAUUUUUCGUGAACCGGAAUUAAACCGGGUUAAUCUUAUAAUGGACCGACGUGGAGAAACUUAUGGAGGAAAAAUUUUCUUUCUCCUGCGCGCUUUCUCCCGCGCACGAAUUCCUCUUCCUGUUCGACCAAAAAAGAAGUUCUGUUCUCUGUUUGUCCAUAGAGAACCUUGCUAAGAAAUUUACAAGACAUAAGUUAUUCUUAUUCUUCAUGAGCAAGACAGAAGUUCUUCCAGCAGAUAAAUUUUGAAGAAUAAGAUAAGUUAUUCUUGCGAUGAAGUAAAGUUGAAGUUCCAAAAAUGGAGGAGAAAAGAGGCGG
Non-coding RNA from Nelumbo nucifera (sacred lotus), 2338 nucleotides. Lineage: Eukaryota; Viridiplantae; Streptophyta; Magnoliopsida; Proteales; Nelumbonaceae. The record is from RefSeq and is a predicted model, not a curated record.